AACGAACGCUGGCGGCAUGCCUAACACAUGCAAGUCGAACGAGACCUUCGGGCCUAGUGGCGCACGGGUGCGUAACGCGUGGGAACCUGCCCUUAGGUUCGGAAUAACUCCCCGAAAGGGGUGCUAAUACCGGAUAAUGUCUUCGGACCAAAGAUUUAUCGCCUUUGGAUGGGCCCGCGUUGGAUUAGCUAGUUGGUAGGGUAAAAGCCUACCAAGGCGACGAUCCAUAGCUGGUCUGAGAGGAUGAUCAGCCACACUGGGACUGAGACACGGCCCAGACUCCUACGGGAGGCAGCAGUGGGGAAUAUAGGACAAUGGGCGAAAGCCUGAUCCAGCAGUGCCGCGAGAGUGAUGAAGGCCUUAGGGUUGUAAAGCUCUUUUACCCGGGAUGAUAAUGACAGUACCGGGAGAAUAAGCUCCGGCUAACUCCGU
RNAcentral lists this ribosomal RNA (432 nucleotides) under uncultured bacterium. RNAcentral describes it as "partial 16S ribosomal RNA". It matches the Rfam family "Bacterial small subunit ribosomal RNA", at positions 29 to 506 of the family's 1533-position model. The record is from RNAcentral.